CGUGUCUUCACGCUGCCUGAAUCCCUUGGUGACAUCCAAAGGUGUCACUAAAGAUGUCACUAAAGACCUGAAGAGCGGGAGCCCAGAGGACCAGCUCCAGCCUCACUGGACAGCAGGAAGUAACGGCCGCGGCCGGGUCGUGGUCCCAAUACCCACAAGAAUGAGGACGGAUCAAAAGACCCUGGGGACUGAAAAGGGUAACCAAAGGGUUAGCAGCCGCAACUUUGUACCCUGACCUUUUUCCUUCGCCACUGAGUACCCCUGACUCUCCUCCUGUAGGGAGGUGGAUGUGAGGCUCGCCCUCCUGCCUCUGGAAUAAACUCUUGCUUUGCUUUAUA
Molecule: long non-coding RNA, 338 nt
Organism: Leopardus geoffroyi (Geoffroy's cat)
Lineage: Eukaryota; Metazoa; Chordata; Mammalia; Carnivora; Felidae
Exons: 2
Source: RefSeq, a predicted model, not a curated record